RNAcentral lists this transfer RNA (72 nucleotides) under Symbiochloris sp. SG-2018. RNAcentral describes it as "tRNA-Gln". It matches the Rfam family "tRNA". From Rfam's summary of the family: Transfer RNA (tRNA) molecules are approximately 80 nucleotides in length. RNAcentral also lists the same sequence under 1 other name. Lineage: Eukaryota; Viridiplantae; Chlorophyta; Trebouxiophyceae; Trebouxiales; Trebouxiaceae. The record is from RNAcentral.
UGGGGCGUCGCCAAGUGGUAAGGCAUCUGGUUUUGGUCCAGACAUUCGCAGGUUCGAAUCCUUCCGCCCCAG